AUGAACGCUGGCGGCGUGCCUAAUACAUGCAAGUCGAGCGAACGGACGAGAAGCUUGCUUCUCUGAUGUUAGCGGCGGACGGGUGAGUAACACGUGGAUAACCUACCUAUAAGACUGGGAUAACUUCGGGAAACCGGAGCUAAUACCGGAUAAUAUUUUGAACCGCAUGGUUCAAAAGUGAAAGACGGUCUUGCUGUCACGUAUAGAUGGAUCCGCGCUGCAUUAGCUAGUUGGUAAGGUAACGGCUUACCAAGGCAACGAUGCAUAGCCGACCUGAGAGGGUGAUCGGCCACACUGGAACUGAGACACGGUCCAGACUCCUACGGGAGGCAGCAGUAGGGAAUCUUCCGCAAUGGGCGAAAGCCUGACGGAGCAACGCCGCGUGAGUGAUGAAGGUCUUCGGAUCGUAAAACUCUGUUAUUAGGGAAGAACAUAUGUGUAAGUAACUGUGCACAUCUUGACGGUACCUAAUCAGAAAGCCACGGCUAACUACGUG
Molecule: ribosomal RNA, 496 nt
Filed under: uncultured bacterium
Lineage: Bacteria
Description: partial 16S ribosomal RNA
Rfam family: Bacterial small subunit ribosomal RNA
Source: RNAcentral